Patiria miniata (bat star) is the source of this 912-nucleotide long non-coding RNA. RefSeq lists it as uncharacterized. Lineage: Eukaryota; Metazoa; Echinodermata; Asteroidea; Valvatida; Asterinidae. The record is from RefSeq and is a predicted model, not a curated record. The transcript is spliced from 3 exons.
GUUGUCACGUCGUCACGUAUACAAAACUAUUUCGUUCUCACGGCUCAUCAUCAUGCGACCGGCUGUCCUGGUAAGUCGCUAUAGGAUAUGUAAGCUUGACAUCUGCAGUUUCAGAAGUGUCAACAUCAGACUGAUUGGCGUACCUUGAUGUGAAACAGCUGUUCUGGUUCAGCAGGAGUGGAAAAUGCUGCAUCUCUUCAGGAACAGAACUGUAAAACUGGGUACAUGUGUUUCUGAGGAAGGCACAUUUUUAGAAACCAGGGAAAAGUGUUGAUUCAGAUUGUGACUGAUAAAAGUACACUCUGUCCAGAAAAAAAACAACAGGUUUAUUAUAUUUGAAUGUCCCUUCAUCCUUUGUUAUGAAUGUAAUUUAACAUGUAGCACUUUUGCCAAAGUUGUUGUUUUUCACCAACAUAAAAUCAUGCACUUAACAAGGAGUUGCCUUGUUCAUUGUGCCUUAGACAUUUGGAUUUGUGCUAAAGUUUGUCUUUAUAAUAACACAAUAUGCUUGCUUACAGUUGGGUUUUGAAUCGCUCUGGAUGUGAUUUAGUUUUGAAAUUCAGAAGGAACUUAUAUUGAAAAUGAUAACUCCUUUUACCAAUUCAUGAUAAAAAGGUGUUAUACUCGGCCUGGAAGGGGAUAUUUGAUCUGAGUCUGUUGCAUAUGAUGAUUGAUGGGUGGGUCAUCGGAGACAGCAUGUCUGGUUAUUGGGGGGUCUGACCAGGCAUCCAGGGGGCACAGGAAUGCCAUCACAUCAUCAUCGUCAUAAAUCUAUUUUAUAGCCAAUCUUGGUAUGUGGGGCCUCUGGUCGCUUAAGCAUGCUUGACGCAAGCACAUCGUCACUUGGUCACAGCCAGUCACCAAGACAGUACACAGAGGAAGUUUCCUUGCAAAAUGUUUCCCACCACCACC